This 120-nucleotide ribosomal RNA is filed under the name Trechispora sp. RNAcentral describes it as "partial large subunit ribosomal RNA". The record is from RNAcentral. Lineage: Eukaryota; Fungi; Basidiomycota; Agaricomycetes; Trechisporales; Hydnodontaceae.
CGGGAAAAGCUCAAAUUUGAAAUCUGGCGGUUCUGCCGUCCGAGUUGUAUUCUGGAGAAGCGCUUUCUGUGCCGGACCGUGUACAAGUCCCUUGGAACAGGGCGUCGUAGAGGGUGAGAA